Molecule: transfer RNA, 68 nt
Filed under: Ovis aries (sheep)
Lineage: Eukaryota; Metazoa; Chordata; Mammalia; Artiodactyla; Bovidae
Description: tRNA-Lys
Source: RNAcentral
CAUCAAGAAGCUAGCCCAGCGUUAACCUUUUAAGUUAAAGACUGAGAAUACUAUAUUCUCCUUGAUGA